Bombyx mori (domestic silkworm) is the source of this 84-nucleotide non-coding RNA. The record is from Rfam. NCBI's taxonomy places the organism in Eukaryota, Metazoa, Arthropoda, Insecta, Lepidoptera, Bombycidae.
UUAACUCAAAUUUGUAUGAAGUUGGAACGUUUGCCUACGUUUGCCGCUAGGGGCACUGUUUUAACUGUACACAAAUUUCAGUUA